Molecule: ribosomal RNA, 277 nt
Filed under: uncultured prokaryote
Description: partial 16S ribosomal RNA
Rfam family: Bacterial small subunit ribosomal RNA
Source: RNAcentral
CACGGCGGUUGCGAGCGUUGUCCGGAAUUACUAGGCGUAAAGGGCAGGCAGGCGGAUCCAUAAGUUUAUCGUUUAAGGCGUCGGCUUAACCGGCGUAGGGCGGUAGAUACUGUGGAUCUGGAAUGCGGUUGGGGAAGACAGAAUUCCUGGUGUAGCGGUGGAAUGCGCAGAGAUCAGGAGGAAUACCGAAGGCGAAGGCAGUCUUCCAAGCCGUUAUUGACGCUCAACUGCGAAGGUGUGGGUAUCAAACAGGAUUAGAUACCCGGGUAGUCCCUGA